This 2927-nucleotide ribosomal RNA is filed under the name Escherichia coli. Its description in RNAcentral is "partial 23S ribosomal RNA". It matches the Rfam family "Bacterial large subunit ribosomal RNA". The record is from RNAcentral. Lineage: Bacteria; Pseudomonadati; Pseudomonadota; Gammaproteobacteria; Enterobacterales; Enterobacteriaceae.
GGGUUGUGAGGUUAAGCGACUAAGCGUACACGGUGGAUGCCCUGGCAGUCAGAGGCGAUGAAGGACGUGCUAAUCUGCGAUAAGCGUCGGUAAGGUGAUAUGAACCGUUAUAACCGGCGAUUUCCGAAUGGGGAAACCCAGUGUGUUUCGACACACUAUCAUUAACUGAAUCCAUAGGUUAAUGAGGCGAACCGGGGGAACUGAAACAUCUAAGUACCCCGAGGAAAAGAAAUCAACCGAGAUUCCCCCAGUAGCGGCGAGCGAACGGGGAGGAGCCCAGAGCCUGAAUCAGUGUGUGUGUUAGUGGAAGCGUCUGGAAAGGCGCGCGAUACAGGGUGACAGCCCCGUACACAAAAAUGCACAUGCUGUGAGCUCGAUGAGUAGGGCGGGACACGUGGUAUCCUGUCUGAAUAUGGGGGGACCAUCCUCCAAGGCUAAAUACUCCUGACUGACCGAUAGUGAACCAGUACCGUGAGGGAAAGGCGAAAAGAACCCCGGCGAGGGGAGUGAAAAAGAACCUGAAACCGUGUACGUACAAGCAGUGGGAGCACAGAGCAAUCUGUGUGACUGCGUACCUUUUGUAUAAUGGGUCAGCGACUUAUAUUCUGUAGCAAGGUUAACCGAAUAGGGGAGCCGAAGGGAAACCGAGUCUUAACUGGGCGUUAAGUUGCAGGGUAUAGACCCGAAACCCGGUGAUCUAGCCAUGGGCAGGUUGAAGGUUGGGUAACACUAACUGGAGGACCGAACCGACUAAUGUUGAAAAAUUAGCGGAUGACUUGUGGCUGGGGGUGAAAGGCCAAUCAAACCGGGAGAUAGCUGGUUCUCCCCGAAAGCUAUUUAGGUAGCGCCUCGUGAAUUCAUCUCCGGGGGUAGAGCACUGUUUCGGCAAGGGGGUCAUCCCGACUUACCAACCCGAUGCAAACUGCGAAUACCGGAGAAUGUUAUCACGGGAGACACACGGCGGGUGCUAACGUCCGUCGUGAAGAGGGAAACAACCCAGACCGCCAGCUAAGGUCCCAAAGUCAUGGUUAAGUGGGAAACGAUGUGGGAAGGCCCAGACAGCCAGGAUGUUGGCUUAGAAGCAGCCAUCAUUUAAAGAAAGCGUAAUAGCUCACUGGUCGAGUCGGCCUGCGCGGAAGAUGUAACGGGGCUAAACCAUGCACCGAAGCUGCGGCAGCGACGCUUAUGCGUUGUUGGGUAGGGGAGCGUUCUGUAAGCCUGUGAAGGUGUACUGUGAGGUAUGCUGGAGGUAUCAGAAGUGCGAAUGCUGACAUAAGUAACGAUAAAGCGGGUGAAAAGCCCGCUCGCCGGAAGACCAAGGGUUCCUGUCCAACGUUAAUCGGGGCAGGGUGAGUCGACCCCUAAGGCGAGGCCGAAAGGCGUAGUCGAUGGGAAACAGGUUAAUAUUCCUGUACUUGGUGUUACUGCGAAGGGGGGACGGAGAAGGCUAUGUUGGCCGGGCGACGGUUGUCCCGGUUUAAGCGUGUAGGCUGGUUUUCCAGGCAAAUCCGGAAAAUCAAGGCUGAGGCGUGAUGACGAGGCACUACGGUGCUGAAGCAACAAAUGCCCUGCUUCCAGGAAAAGCCUCUAAGCAUCAGGUAACAUCAAAUCGUACCCCAAACCGACACAGGUGGUCAGGUAGAGAAUACCAAGGCGCUUGAGAGAACUCGGGUGAAGGAACUAGGCAAAAUGGUGCCGUAACUUCGGGAGAAGGCACGCUGAUAUGUAGGUGAAGUCCCUCGCGGAUGGAGCUGAAAUCAGUCGAAGAUACCAGCUGGCUGCAACUGUUUAUUAAAAACACAGCACUGUGCAAACACGAAAGUGGACGUAUACGGUGUGACGCCUGCCCGGUGCCGGAAGGUUAAUUGAUGGGGUCAGCGCAAGCGAAGCUCUUGAUCGAAGCCCCGGUAAACGGCGGCCGUAACUAUAACGGUCCUAAGGUAGCGAAAUUCCUUGUCGGGUAAGUUCCGACCUGCACGAAUGGCGUAAUGAUGGCCAGGCUGUCUCCACCCGAGACUCAGUGAAAUUGAACUCGCUGUGAAGAUGCAGUGUACCCGCGGCAAGACGGAAAGACCCCGUGAACCUUUACUAUAGCUUGACACUGAACAUUGAGCCUUGAUGUGUAGGAUAGGUGGGAGGCUUUGAAGUGUGGACGCCAGUCUGCAUGGAGCCGACCUUGAAAUACCACCCUUUAAUGUUUGAUGUUCUAACGUUGACCCGUAAUCCGGGUUGCGGACAGUGUCUGGUGGGUAGUUUGACUGGGGCGGUCUCCUCCUAAAGAGUAACGGAGGAGCACGAAGGUUGGCUAAUCCUGGUCGGACAUCAGGAGGUUAGUGCAAUGGCAUAAGCCAGCUUGACUGCGAGCGUGACGGCGCGAGCAGGUGCGAAAGCAGGUCAUAGUGAUCCGGUGGUUCUGAAUGGAAGGGCCAUCGCUCAACGGAUAAAAGGUACUCCGGGGAUAACAGGCUGAUACCGCCCAAGAGUUCAUAUCGACGGCGGUGUUUGGCACCUCGAUGUCGGCUCAUCACAUCCUGGGGCUGAAGUAGGUCCCAAGGGUAUGGCUGUUCGCCAUUUAAAGUGGUACGCGAGCUGGGUUUAGAACGUCGUGAGACAGUUCGGUCCCUAUCUGCCGUGGGCGCUGGAGAACUGAGGGGGGCUGCUCCUAGUACGAGAGGACCGGAGUGGACGCAUCACUGGUGUUCGGGUUGUCAUGCCAAUGGCACUGCCCGGUAGCUAAAUGCGGAAGAGAUAAGUGCUGAAAGCAUCUAAGCACGAAACUUGCCCCGAGAUGAGUUCUCCCUGACUCCUUGAGAGUCCUGAAGGAACGUUGAAGACGACGACGUUGAUAGGCCGGGUGUGUAAGCGCAGCGAUGCGUUGAGCUAACCGGUACUAAUGAACCGUGAGGCUUAACCUUACAACGCCGAAG